AACGAACGCUGGCGGCAUGCCUAACACAUGCAAGUCGAACGAUGGUCUUCGGAUCAUAGUGGCGCACGGGUGCGUAACGCGUGGGAAUCUGCCCUUGGGUUCGGAAUAACAGUUGGAAACGACUGCUAAUACCGGAUGAUGUCGAUAAGACCAAAGAUUUAUCGCCCGAGGAUGAGCCCGCGUCGGAUUAGCUAGUUGGUGGGGUAAAGGCCUACCAAGGCGACGAUCCGUAGCUGGUCUGAGAGGAUGAUCAGCCACACUGGGACUGAGACACGGCCCAGACUCCUACGGGAGGCAGCAGUGGGGAAUAUUGGACAAGGGGCGCAAGCCUGAUCCAGCAAUGCCGCGUGAGUGAUGAAGGCCUUAGGGUUGUAAAGCUCUUUUACCCGGGAAGAUAAUGACUGUACCGGGAGAAUAAGCCCCGGCUAACUCCGUG
Molecule: ribosomal RNA, 436 nt
Filed under: uncultured bacterium
Lineage: Bacteria
Description: partial 16S ribosomal RNA
Rfam family: Bacterial small subunit ribosomal RNA
Source: RNAcentral